Molecule: long non-coding RNA, 746 nt
Organism: Alnus glutinosa
Lineage: Eukaryota; Viridiplantae; Streptophyta; Magnoliopsida; Fagales; Betulaceae
Exons: 4
Source: RefSeq, a predicted model, not a curated record
UUGAAAUAAUAUUUAUUUAUUAUAAAAAAAUAUUAAAAACUAUUAUUUAAUAUAAAUAAUUAUUAUUUAAUUGUUUAAAGGGUGGGACCCUCACGUUUCUGGGUGGCCAAGCUCCUCCGUUCGGACGUUGAGUUAAAAACGAAAACUGCCAGAGAAGAACAAGCGCAAGAAAAGCACACUAUCUCAGACGCAACGCCCUCACCCACCACCCGUUCUUCACCUAGAGACCACAGGCCCUUAUCGCCACCGCUAGAUUCCUCAUCACCCUCUUCACUUUCCUUCAAUCGAUCCUUUCACAGCAAUGAACUCAAACACCCCACCGCACUCCUUGAAACCCCACCGCCAGACGCGACGAACCGGGCGUUCCUGACAGACCCAGUGGUGGUGGCCAAGAUUGCCUCACGCUGUCACGCAUGGGUCUCGGUCAUCAAAGCAGCAAAAUUCAGUCCUGAAUUCGGGCGUGAAUUCGGAGCAUUUUCGGGUUAGCCUUGAGCUCCUCUGUCUAUAAUAUUUGGAGGAAUAUAAAUGAGCUAAGGCAUGGAUCAGCUUCCAAAUCUGAAGAGCAGCACUUGAAAAAGAGUUUUUGAGAAGUCAGAUCCAGAAUUUUGGGUGAGUCUUGAUCGACUUGUUUCAGUUGGCUUUUGUUGUCAUGGGUGGUAUUGGUUCCUCCUUUGGAGACUGGUUUAUAGUCUCUGGAGGUUGGUUUUGUGUUUCAGUUGUUUCGCUCAUGGAGUAUAUUCGUUAUA